RNAcentral lists this ribosomal RNA (503 nucleotides) under uncultured bacterium. Its description in RNAcentral is "partial 16S ribosomal RNA". It matches the Rfam family "Bacterial small subunit ribosomal RNA", at positions 29 to 523 of the family's 1533-position model. The record is from RNAcentral.
AACGAACGCUGGCGGCACGUUUUAAGCAUGCAAGUCGAAUGGCAGCAGGGGCAACUCUGUGAGAAUGGCGAACGGGUGAGUAACACGUAGGUGAUCUGCCUUGAGGAUGGGGAUAGCCUGUGGAAACACAGGGUAAUACCGAAUAAGCUGACGGGACUUUGGUUUUGUUAGUAAAGGUGCUACGGCACCGCCUGGAGAGGAGCCUGCGGCUGAUUAGCUAGUUGGUGGGGUAAAGGCCUACCAAGGCGACGAUCAGUAGCCGGCCUGCGAGGGUGUACGGCCACACUGGGACUGAGACACGGCCCAGACUCCUACGUGAGGCAGCAGCUAAGAAUCUUCCGCAAUGGGCGAAAGCCUGACGGAGCGAUGCCGCGGGAUUGAUGAAGGUCGGGAGAUUGUAAAGAUCUUUUCUACAUGAGGAAUAAGUCUGGGAGGGAAUGCCUGGAUGAUGACGUUAGUGUAGGAAUAAGCCCCGGCUAAUUACGUGCCAGCCGCCGCGGUAA